AGAUGCCAGGAAAUAACACACAGGUGACGGCGAGGUGGGUUAAAGCCCAAACACAACAAGAGAUGCUCACGGAGGUGGCCGCUACCUGCACACACCUGAGACAGUCCAGCUACCUGUACCCCCACUCCCCCGCACUGGCUCCCAGUGUCUCUCUUCCACUUGUGUGGUGAGGAAGAGACCAUGUUCCACGUGUAUACGGAGCGUGAGAGACUGCUGCUUCUUGGCC
Long non-coding RNA from Amblyraja radiata (thorny skate), 226 nucleotides. RefSeq lists it as uncharacterized. Lineage: Eukaryota; Metazoa; Chordata; Chondrichthyes; Rajiformes; Rajidae. The record is from RefSeq and is a predicted model, not a curated record. The transcript has 3 exons.